CCUACGGGAGGCAGCAGUGAGGCAUAUUGGUCAAUGGCCGAGAGGCUGAACCAGCCAAGUCGCGUGAGGGAGGAAUGUCCUAUGGAUUGUAAACCUCUUUUGUCAGGGAGCAAAGUCACCCACGUGUGGGCGUUGGAGAGUACCUGAAGAAAAAGCAUCGGCUAACUCCGUGCCAGCAGCCGCGGUAAUACGGAGGAUGCGAGCGUUAUCCGGAUUUAUUGGGUUUCAAGGGUGCGUAGGCGGGUGAUCAAGUCAGCGGUAAAAGCGUGGGGCUCAACGCCAGCCAGCCGUUGAAACUGAUGAUCUUGAGUGGGCGAGAAGUAUGCGGGAUGCGGGGUGUAGCGGUGAAAUGCAUAGAUAUCGCGCAGAACUCCGAUUGCGAAGGCAGCAUACCGGCGCCCGACUGACGCUGAAGCACGAAAGCGUGGGUAUCGAACAGGAUUAGAUACCCUGGUAGUC
Molecule: ribosomal RNA, 459 nt
Filed under: uncultured bacterium
Lineage: Bacteria
Description: partial 16S ribosomal RNA
Rfam family: Bacterial small subunit ribosomal RNA
Source: RNAcentral